This 274-nucleotide ribosomal RNA is filed under the name uncultured bacterium. RNAcentral's name for it is "partial 16S ribosomal RNA". It matches the Rfam family "Bacterial small subunit ribosomal RNA", at positions 523 to 796 of the family's 1533-position model. The record is from RNAcentral.
AUACGGAGGGUGCAAGCGUUAAUCGGAAUUACUGGGCGUAAAGCGCGCGUAGGCGGCUUGAUAAGUCGGAUGUGAAAUCCCCGGGCUUAACCUGGGAAUUGCAUUCGAUACUGUCAGGCUAGAGUGUGGUAGAGGGAAGUGGAAUUUCCGGUGUAGCGGUGAAAUGCGUAGAUAUCGGAAAGAACAUCAGUGGCGAAGGCGGCUUCCUGGAUCAACACUGACGCUGAGGUGCGAAAGCGUGGGGAGCAAACAGGAUUAGAAACCCGAGUAGUCC